RNAcentral lists this ribosomal RNA (387 nucleotides) under uncultured bacterium. RNAcentral describes it as "bacterial SSU rRNA". It matches the Rfam family "Bacterial small subunit ribosomal RNA", at positions 30 to 419 of the family's 1533-position model. The record is from RNAcentral.
AUUGAACGCUGGCGGCAUGCCUUACACAUGCAAGUCGAACGGCAGCGGACCUUCGGGUGCCGGCGAGUGGCGAACGGGUGAGUAAUAUAUCGGAACGUACCUUUCAGUGGGGGAUAACGUAGCGAAAGUUACGCUAAUACCGCAUAUUCUGUGAGCAGGAAAGCAGGGGAUCGCAAGACCUUGCGCUGAUUGAGCGGCCGAUAUCAGAUUAGCUAGUUGGUGAGGUAAAGGCUCACCAAGGCGACGAUCUGUAGCGGGUCUGAGAGGAUGAUCCGCCACACUGGAACUGAGACACGGUCCAGACUCCUACGGGAGGCAGCAGUGGGGAAUUUUGGACAAUGGGCGCAAGCCUGAUCCAGCCAUGCCGCGUGAGUGAAGAAGGCCUGG